Molecule: ribosomal RNA, 2848 nt
Filed under: Alteromonas mediterranea 615
Lineage: Bacteria; Pseudomonadati; Pseudomonadota; Gammaproteobacteria; Alteromonadales; Alteromonadaceae
Description: bacterial LSU rRNA
Rfam family: Bacterial large subunit ribosomal RNA
Source: RNAcentral
GUAUGGUUAAGUGACGAAGCGUAUACGGUGGAUGCCUUGGCAGUUAGAGGCGAUGAAGGACGUGUAAGUCUGCGAAAAGCUGUGGUGAGCCGACAAAAUGCAUUUGAGCCACAGAUGUCCGAAUGGGGAAACCCACCUGUUUACAGGUAUCGUUACGUGAAUACAUAGUGUAACGAGGCGAACGAGGGGAACUGAAACAUCUAAGUACCCUUAGGAAAAGAAAUCAAACGAGAUUCCCCUAGUAGCGGCGAGCGAACGGGGACAGCCCUUAAGCUGUUUAGUGUGUAGUGGAAUCCUUUGGGAAGAGGAGCGAUACAGGGUGAUAGCCCCGUACACAAAGCGUGCUUUACAGUGAAAUCGAGUAGGUCGGGACACGUGUUAUCUUGACUGAAUAUGGGGGGACCAUCCUCCAAGGCUAAAUACUCCUAACUGACCGAUAGUGAACCAGUACCGUGAGGGAAAGGCGAAAAGAACCCCUGUGAGGGGAGUGAAAUAGAACCUGAAACCGUAUACGUACAAGCAGUGGGAGCCCUUCGGGGUGACUGCGUACCUUUUGUAUAAUGGGUCAGCGACUUAUAUUUAGUAGCAAGGUUAAGCGAAUAGCGGAGCCGUAGCGAAAGCGAGUGUUAACUGCGCGUUGAGUUGCUAGGUAUAGACCCGAAACCCGGUGAUCUAGCCAUGAGCAGGUUGAAGGUUGAGUAACAUCAACUGGAGGACCGAACCCACUGACGUUGAAAAGUCAGGGGAUGACUUGUGGCUGGGGGGAAAGGCCAAUCAAACCGGGAGAUAGCUGGUUCUCCCCGAAAUCUAUUUAGGUAGAGCCUCGGACGAAUUCCAUUGGGGGUAGAGCACUGUUAAGGCUAGGGGGUCAUCCCGACUUACCAACCCUUUGCAAACUCCGAAUACCAAUGAGAACUAUCCGGGAGACACACGGCGGGGCUAACGUCCGUCGUGGAGAGGGAAACAACCCAGACCGCCAGCUAAGGUCCCAAAAUAUUGCUAAGUGGGAAACGAUGUGGGAAGGCACAGACAGCUAGGAGGUUGGCUUAGAAGCAGCCACCCUUUAAAGAAAGCGUAAUAGCUCACUAGUCGAGUCGGCCUGCGCGGAAGAUGUAACGGGGCUAAGCAAUAUACCGAAGCUGCGGCAGCAUGUUUACAUGCUGGGUAGGGGAGCGUUGUGUAAGUGGAUGAAGGUGAGUUGUAAAGCUUGCUGGACAUAUCACAAGUGCGAAUGCUGACAUGAGUAACGAUAAUGGGAGUGAAAAACUCCCACGCCGGAAGACCAAGGUUUCCUGUCCCAUGCUAAUCAGGGCAGGGUGAGUCGGCCCCUAAGGCGAGGCAGAAAUGCGUAGUCGAUGGGAAACGGAUUAAUAUUUCCGUACUUUAUAAUCAGUGAUGGAGGGACGGAGAAGGCUAGGCAAGCUUGGCGUUGGUUGUCCAAGUGAAAGUGAGUAGGCUAUUAGGUAAAUCCGGUGCUCUUUAAAAGAGAAGCCGAGACACGAGACGAGCUCCCAAGGGAGUGAAGUUGUUGAUGCCCUGCUUCCAGGAAAAGCUUCUAAACUUAUGAUUAUAUGAACCGUACCCCAAACCGACACAGGUGGUCAGGUAGAGAAUACUAAGGCGCUUGAGAGAACUCGGGUGAAGGAACUCGGCAAAAUUGUACCGUAACUUCGGGAGAAGGUACGCCUCUGUUUGUGAACACUUCGCGUGGUAAGCAAAUGGAGGCCGCAGUGACCAGGUGGCUGGGACUGUUUAUUAAAAACACAGCACUCUGCAAACUCGUAAGAGGACGUAUAGGGUGUGACACCUGCCCGGUGCCGGAAGGUUAAUUGAUGGGGUUAGUUCGGACGAAGCUCUUGAUCGAAGCCCCGGUAAACGGCGGCCGUAACUAUAACGGUCCUAAGGUAGCGAAAUUCCUUGUCGGGUAAGUUCCGACCGCACGAAGGUGAACCUGGCACUGUCUCACGAGACCGUGAAAUUAUGCGUGAAGAUGCUGUGUACCCGCCGACGGAAAGACCCCGUGACUUUACUAGCUGAUGAAUUGAACCUACAUGUGUAGGAUAGGUGGGAGGCUUUGAAGCACAGUCGCUAGAUUGUGUGGAGCCGUCCUUGAAAUACCACCCUUGUAUGUUUGAUGUUCUAACAUUGGCCCCUUAUCGGGGUUGUGGACAGUGUCUGGUGGGUAGUUUGACUGGGGCGGUCUCCUCCCAAAUAGUAACGGAGGAGCACGAAGGUUAGCUAAUCACGGUCGGACAUCGUGAGGUUAGUGCAAUGGCAUAAGCUAGCUUAACUGCGAGACAGACACGUCGAGCAGGUACGAAAGUAGGUCAUAGUGAUCCGGUGGUUCUGUAUGGAAGGGCCAUCGCUCAACGGAUAAAAGGUACUCCGGGGAUAACAGGCUGAUACCGCCCAAGAGUUCAUAUCGACGGCGGUGUUUGGCACCUCGAUGUCGGCUCAUCACAUCCUGGGGCUGAAGUCGGUCCCAAGGGUAUGGCUGUUCGCCAUUUAAAGUGGUACGCGAGCUGGGUUUAGAACGUCGUGAGACAGUUCGGUCCCUAUCUGGUGUGGGCGUUGGAUGAUUGAUGGGAGCUGCUCCUAGUACGAGAGGACCGGAGUGGACGAACCGCUGGUGUUCGGGUUGUCAUGCCAAUGGCAUUGCCCGGUAGCUAUGUUCGGAACGGAUAACCGCUGAAAGCAUCUAAGCGGGAAGCCGGCCCAAAGAUGAGUCAUCCCUGACCUUUAAGGUCUGGAAGGGUUGUUAUAGACGAUGACGUUGAUAGGCAGGGUGUGGAAGCGUUGUAAGGCGUUAAGCUAACCUGUACUAAUUGCCCGAGAGGCUUAACCAUAC